UACGUAGGGGGCAAGCGUUGUCCGGAAUCAUUGGGCGUAAAGAGCGUGUAGGCGGCUCGGUAAGUCCGCUGUGAAAGUCCAGGGCUCAACCCUGGAAUGCCGGUGGAAACUGUCGAGCUAGAGUCCGGAAGAGGCGAGUGGAAUUCCUGGUGUAGCGGUGAAAUGCGCAGAUAUCAGGAGGAACACCAAUGACGAAGGCAGCUCGCUGGGACGGUACUGACGCUGAGACGCGAAAGCGUGGGGAGCAAACAGG
RNAcentral lists this ribosomal RNA (253 nucleotides) under uncultured bacterium. RNAcentral's name for it is "partial 16S ribosomal RNA". It matches the Rfam family "Bacterial small subunit ribosomal RNA", at positions 524 to 776 of the family's 1533-position model. The record is from RNAcentral.